CCCUUAGAUGUUCUGGGCCGCACACGCGCUACACUGAAGGAGGCAGCGUGUACUCCUGGAUCGAAAGAUUUGGGUAACCCGCGAAUCUCCUUCGUGCUAGGGAUUGAGGUUUGCAAUUAUCCUUCAUGAACGAGGAAUUCCCAGUAAGUGCAAGUCAUAAGCUUGCGCUGACUACGUCCCUGCCCUUUGUACACACCGCCCGUCGCUACUACCGAUUGAAUGAUUUAGUGAGGACUUCGGACUGGUACCGAUGCGGCUUUCGGGCUGCGUCGGUAUUCUGGAAAGAUGUCCAAACUGUAUCAUUUAGAGGAAGUAAAAGUCGUAACA
This 327-nucleotide ribosomal RNA is filed under the name uncultured eukaryote. Its description in RNAcentral is "partial 18S ribosomal RNA". It matches the Rfam family "Eukaryotic small subunit ribosomal RNA", at positions 1470 to 1796 of the family's 1831-position model. The record is from RNAcentral.